Molecule: ribosomal RNA, 321 nt
Filed under: uncultured Pseudomonadota bacterium
Lineage: Bacteria; Pseudomonadati; Pseudomonadota
Description: bacterial SSU rRNA
Rfam family: Bacterial small subunit ribosomal RNA
Source: RNAcentral
AUUGAACGCUGGCGGCAUGCUUUACACAUGCAAGUCGAACGGCAUCGCGGACUUCGGUCUGGCGGCGAGUGGCGAACGGGUGAGUAAUACAUCGGAACGUGCCUAUUAGUGGGGGAUAACUAAGCGAAAGUUUAGCUAAUACCGCAUACGCCCUGAGGGGGAAAGCGGGGGAUCUUCGGACCUCGUGCUAAUAGAGCGGCUGAUGGCUGAUUAGCUAGUUGGUGAGGUAAAGGCUCACCAAGGCGACGAUCAGUAGCGGGUCUUAGAGGACGAUCCGCCACACUGGAACUGAGACACGGUCCAGACACCUACGGGAGGCAG